RNAcentral lists this ribosomal RNA (425 nucleotides) under uncultured bacterium. RNAcentral's name for it is "partial 16S ribosomal RNA". It matches the Rfam family "Bacterial small subunit ribosomal RNA", at positions 359 to 776 of the family's 1533-position model. The record is from RNAcentral.
GUAUAUUGGACAAUGGGCGAAAGCCUGAUCCAGCCAUGCUGCGUGUGUGAAGAAGGUCUUCGGAUAGUAGAGCACUUCAAGUAGGGAGGAAGGGCAGUACGCGAAUACAUCGCUGUAUUAACGUUACGGACUGAAUACGCACAUGCGAACUCUGUGCCAGCGGCCGCGGUAAUACAGAGGGUGCAAGCGUUAAGCGGAAUUACUGGGCGUAAAGCGCGCGUAGGUGGUUCGUUAAGUUGGAUGUGAAAUCCCCGGGCUCAACCUGGGAACUGCAUCCAAAACUGUCGAGCUAGAGUAGGGCAGAGGGUGGUGUAAUUUCCUGUGUAGCGGUGAAAUGCGUAGAUAUAGGAAGAAACACCAGUGGCGAAAGCGACCACCUGGGCUCAUACUGACACUGAGGUGCGAAAGCGUGGGGAGCAAACAGG